GGAGUCUAAAGUUAGUCCUUAGUCUACAAAAUGAAAAGGCAUACAUUAACUUCUUUUUUUAAUAUUUAGUUUUUAGUUAUAAGUGUAUGACACAAUAUCUUCAUUUUUAUUUUUAUGUGGUACUGAGGAUUGAACCCAGUUCCUCAUGCAUGGUAGGCAAGUGCUCUACCUCUGAGCCACAACCCUAGCCGCAUUAACUUCUUAAUUACUUGAUACUCUUCCUUAAACCUGAAGGGUGUUUUAUUUUAUUUUAAAAAGACAACUUCUGUGUGCCUUUUUAAACUUGCAUACAGAUUUUGUACUUUUGUUAUUUGUCCUCUUGGGAAGGAGGUAGAAUAUUAGUGCAUUGGUGCUACUUUUUAUUGCAAUUCAGUUCACUGCAGAAAGUAUACACACACACAUAAAAGAAAUGCCUGUGAAGUCCAUACAACAACUACUACUACUUAGUGUCUAUAAAUCAAUAAAAGUUACUUGGCUUUGAUUGUACUUAUUUUAGAGUUCACCUUAGCCUUCGAUGAUUCGAAACAAACCAAUUUUAAUUUCUAUGAAAAAGUUGUGCAUAUUCUAAUAUUGUGCCAUUGAAUUUUCACACUUUUUGAACCAAGUAUCCCUGUAAGUUUAUAAGAAAUACAAUAAAAC
RNAcentral lists this long non-coding RNA (639 nucleotides) under Marmota monax (woodchuck). Lineage: Eukaryota; Metazoa; Chordata; Mammalia; Rodentia; Sciuridae. The record is from RNAcentral.